Molecule: long non-coding RNA, 1192 nt
Organism: Carassius gibelio (silver crucian carp)
Lineage: Eukaryota; Metazoa; Chordata; Actinopteri; Cypriniformes; Cyprinidae
Exons: 2
Source: RefSeq, a predicted model, not a curated record
CAAUAAUUAUCAAAAAAAUGUUGAAUUUUGCACUUUGGUUAGCGUUAAAGGGGUAAUUAAGAAAAGGGGUGUGGCCAAACAUACCCCAAAGCUUAUAAAACCUAAACGAAAACUCAAAACUUUAUGAAACUUGGUGAAAACAUGUACCAGGUGACUCUCAACAAGCAUGCAAUGUUUCAUGGAGAUCGGACCAUAGGUGGCGCUAUAACAGUUGAAAAAGCCUCAAAAAAACACAUUUUCAAUAGAAAAUGAUCACAAUUUGUAGGACAUGUUCAUACAUUCAAACAAACACUAGAUCUUAACAUCAUAUGAUAGAUCUCCUCAUAAUGCACAACUUCGCCUCAAGAGCCAUUGCUGUCAAUCAAAUCGUUCAAUUGUUAUUCACAAAUAUGUUAAAAACCUACUUUUGCGAACUAGUUCUAGGUUUUUUGUUCGAUCGGAACCAAACCACUGCAGUAAUAUUCUGUGGACACUCUAGAUCAAUAAUUAUCAAAAAAAUGUUGAAUUUUGUACUUUGGUUACCGUUAAAGGGGUAAUUAAGAAAAGGGGUGUGGCCAAACAUACCCCAAAGCCUAUAAAACCUAAACGAAAACUCAAAACUUUAUGAAAAUUGGUGAAAUCAUGUAACAGGUGACUCUUAACAAGCAUGCAAAGCUUCAUGGAGAUCGGACCAUAGGUGGCGCUAUAACAGUAGAAAAGGUCUCAAAACACAAGAUUUAUAUGGUGAAUGGCCUCAAAUUGUUUGAAAAUGCUCAUAUAUUCACUCAAAAACACUAGAUCUUCAUAUCAUAUGAUAGAUCUCCUCAUUCUGAACAACUUUGCCUUUGGGACCAAUGUUGUCAAUAAAGCUGUUAAUUAAAUAUUCAAGAUUAUUUUAAAAAGUUACUUUGGCAAACUAUUGAUAGGGUUUAAGCUAAAAAUCAAUAAAACCACUGAAGUACAAGUCUCUAGACUCUGAAGGUCAAUAAUUAUCAAAAUCAUGUUGAAAAAUUGCAUUUGGACAACUAUAAACCAGUAAUUUUAUGAUAUGUUAUUUGCAUAGUGUACACAAAGGCCUAUUAAUACAAACAGAAAGCCCACAAAUUAUCAAAACUGUGUAAAAUAAUGCAUAAUUUCAUUCUAAAAAAGCAUGCAAAAUUUAAGAGAGAUUGGGCAAAAAAAAAAAAAAAAAAAAAAAAAAAAAACACAAUAA